AGGAGGAAUGAAGAAGAAGAGGAAGACCCGCUGCCAACUGCAACUGCCGUUGCAAAGGCAAUAGCUCCACAUCUACAUCUUAAGAACAAAACGUCACAGUGCUAUCAAAACAUUGCUUUAUAAGGACGUGUCAACCGUAUAUAAUACCAUUCAUUGAAUUAGUAGUGACUGUGAACUCCUACACUACUGAAUCAAAUAUCCUGCCGUAAACACUCGUGACAAUAUAUAUGGAGGGCUUGAAAUGCUCGCAGGAGAUCCACCAGGGGGUAAUGUGGGUACUCAUACAUGCUCGAGGAGGUCAAAACAGGGUAAUGAGACUGAUCAUGGACAACUUGGAGGACAAAGUCAUGGCUAAAAACUGACAGAAAGGCACGUUGAUAACGUUACCUAAAGGAUACCUUCAUGCAGGUUAACAAAAAUGUUUCAUUCAAGACGCCUGCCUCCUCCGGUAUUGACACGCCUUCGCUGCUACAAGUGGAACAUACAGCCUUCAUGCAGGCCAACCCUAGAGGACCUGCUGGGCAGCGACGCCCUCAGCCUCAACACUGCCUUCCACGCCCUCAAGUGCACGCAAACCUUCCUGCAGAAGUCGGGGCAACUCGACAGGAUCUAACUCCCACCCUGGUGACAGGACGGCCAACACAUCUCUAACAAAAGCUUAGCCUCUGUUGUUUUGCCCAGUCAUGAGUCCCCUCAUACUCCUCCCACGUCUCACUUAGUUGCUUCCUCUGCCUCUAACCUUGAAGUAUGUUCAAAAGAUGGGAACCCUAAAAAAAAACUCACAUAGAACUUCCUUCUCCGCAAAAUCUGAGUAAUUCUUCUGUAAAUAACCUCUUCAUUACUUUUGUUCUUUUGAAUCUCAACUGUUUAAUCAAUAAAGUUAACUUUUUGGCAGAGUUCGUUUCUAGUCACAGUAUUGGGGUAUGUUGUGUUUGUGAAACUUGGUUAACUUGCAAUGUUUCUGAUCCAGUUAUCAGUAUAUUGGGUUAUAAAUUUUUCCGAAAUGACUCUCCCUUAAAUCUAAGAAUUCACGGUGUUGGGAUUUACAUUCGUGAUGAUAUUAAAGUGGGGAAAACUUAUUCAGAUCAUCCGAAUACUGUUGGGGUAUUUUUGCCUGAUUUUGGCGUUACUAUAUUAGCAGUUUACAGGCCCCCAAGUAAUUCUUUGAAAGAUAAUAUUGCUCCUGUUUCAUACCUGGAAUCUUUCUGUGUUGGUAAAGAAUUAAUACAGGUUGGUGACUUUAAUCUCCCUACUGUUGUCUGGUCCACUGAGGUUCCUUAUUGCACUUCCUCUAUUGAUAUUAGAUUUCUAGAUUUGUUUUCAUCUUUGGGUCUCAUGCAGUGGGUUACGCAAAGUACCUAUGUCCGGUCUAAUAAUAUACUUGAUUUGGUCUUUACAUCUGAAGAUGAUAGAAUUUCCCAUGUUGAUAUAAUAGACCCCUUUCCAGGUUGUGACCAUUUUCCAGUUUUGUUUGAGUAUUUAUUUAGUUCUAAUCCAAACAUUAAUAAUGUACAUAACAACUUUGACUUUUAUAAUGGCAACUACACCUUGUUAAACCAUCACAUUUUGAAUUUUGAUUGGGAUAAUGAAUUCCUUGGCUUAGAUAUUGAACAAUCAUAUUUAAGAUUUAAAAGUUUAAUGCUUAAUGCCAUUCAGCUAUUUAUUCCAGUUAAGAAGACAACAGGAGUCAGGAAACCUCCUUGGGCAAAAUCUAUACCUCCUUCUCUAAAACGGCAUAAACGACAAGUAUGGUUGGAGUAUAAGGAUGCUCGGACAAAGUUUGGCAGAUCUUCCCCAAUAGCCUUGAGGUUGUGGCAUUCUUUUAAGACAAUAUCUCUUCAAUAUAAAGAUGCUGUCCAUCAAUCUGUAAUUAAAUAUGAAAGAUCUUUAGUUUCUCCCGGAAAUCCUGAUGUUAAAUGUUUUCACUCCUAUCUUCGUAGCAAGAAGGUUCAGCGUCCUACUAUUGGACCGCUGUCGAGUUGUCGAGUUGUUUCAGAGACCAUUUGGCUUAGAUAAUUUUUUUCUAAAAAUUCGAUCAUUCUAUGUGACUCGCCUUCUGUACCUGACAAUGUCGCCCAGUCGAUAUGGGGGAGGUUAAAGUCUUCUAAUAUCAGUGAGUCGCUGUUAUUAAGUGACUGUCUUAAAAUGCUGUACAUUUCAAGGUCGCCAUUGAGUGAUUG
Long non-coding RNA from Eriocheir sinensis (Chinese mitten crab), 2180 nucleotides. RefSeq lists it as uncharacterized. The record is from RefSeq and is a predicted model, not a curated record. NCBI's taxonomy places the organism in Eukaryota, Metazoa, Arthropoda, Malacostraca, Decapoda, Varunidae. The transcript is spliced from 4 exons.